Non-coding RNA from Podarcis lilfordi (Lilford's wall lizard), 68 nucleotides. NCBI's taxonomy places the organism in Eukaryota, Metazoa, Chordata, Lepidosauria, Squamata, Lacertidae. The record is from the annotation of a GenBank genome assembly.
GAUAGCUCAGUAGCUAGAGCAUGAGACUCUUAAUUUCAGCUUUGUGGGUUCGAGCCCCACAUUGGGCA